UCUAAGUUCCUUGUUGCUUGACAUUUGGUAUGCACUCUUUUAUUAUCAUCAUUAUUAUUAUUCCCUGGUCAUGUCUGGUCCUUUCCUGAUUCCCCUUCACAACUCCUUGCCCCAGGGUGGCUAUAACCUCCGCGCCCUAGCUGAAGGCGUCAGUGCUUCGCUCCACACCCUUCUUGGAGACCCUUGCCCCAUGCUGGAGUCACCUGGUGCCCCCUGCCGGAGUGCCCAGGCUUCAGUUUCCUGUGCUCUGGAAGCCCUUGAGCCCUUCUGGGAGGUUCUUGUGAGAUCAAGUAGGAAGUGGGGUGUGGGCCUGGUGUGGGGUGGAUGUGGGAUGAGCCCUGGGGGAGACUGUCUUCAGACUUCCACUGACUUUACUGUGCUGCCUUGGUGGGAGAGGGUCAGGCCCUCUCUCUCCCUGGGCCCUGGUUUCAGGCCUCCCACCCCUUUUUCUGUUUGGGUCACCUGAGUUCCAGAGUAUGACGGGGAUUCA
RNAcentral lists this small RNA (490 nucleotides) under Pongo abelii (Sumatran orangutan). Its description in RNAcentral is "retained intron". Lineage: Eukaryota; Metazoa; Chordata; Mammalia; Primates; Hominidae. The record is from RNAcentral.